RNAcentral lists this long non-coding RNA (1063 nucleotides) under Helianthus annuus (common sunflower). The record is from RNAcentral. Lineage: Eukaryota; Viridiplantae; Streptophyta; Magnoliopsida; Asterales; Asteraceae.
CCCUCACUACAACCCUUUAUCGAUUUUGUCUCUCAUUUGCAUUUGCGCUUAAGAACUUCUGAGGUACAGUCGUCUCUACUUCGUCGUGGUAUGUAUCAUUGACUUCUUUGCCCAAUUGCACCACGUCACCAAUGACUGGUUGAUUCUGUGUUGGCUAAACCAUAUGAAACAGAAAAAGGAUACGGAAAACCUAGCCCUAGCCUGGGCUGCAAAAUUUGCCACAACAGGUACGAUUUUUUGUAAAAAUUUUUGUUUGUUAUGUGUUGGUGAAGGUGAUGGAUGACUCUCCAUUGCUAUUGAACGAAGGUCAAAAUGUGUUUAAGAUUCAUUAUCACCGCAUCUGUGAAAGCUAUUUGGUGUUAAGAACAAUUACAACGUUGUUGUUUGGCUGAUAUAUGUUUGGUAGCGGUGCAGCUUGUUGCCCGUUUACCUACUAUCUCGAGCUGGUGUGGCUGAUAAUCGCAAUAACAAAGUGGAUUAAUUAGCAUAUAUGAUUUUCGUUGUCAACAAUAACAGGUGUAUAGGUCAAAUAGGUACUCUCUGUCGACUAUCCAAGACCAGAGCUUGACAACACAUCUGCUUGACAACACAUCUGAUUUCUUUGAGGCUACUUACUUGUCUUAACUUUUGCAUUGUAUUUGCUGGUGCAGGUUGAGCCGCAAGAUGCUAAGGUGGGUUGUGAAUUAGUAUAUGUGAAUCUUUGGCCAAUAUUCAGUUGAAGUGCUGUCAUUGGAAUCUUUUGAAUAUGGCAAUAGUAAUAGAGGAAGAUGACAUGGAUUCUAUGGCUCAUAGAUUACUUUAUGCAACAGUAAAGUGAUUUAGCAAAUUCUAUAGAAAAAGAAAGAAAAAGAAAAAGAAAUCAAUGGAUAUCAGCGAGAAAGAUAUUGAUGUAGAGUAUAUGCCUGGUUUUAAUGUUGAUGUUGAGCAAGAUUAUCAAGAAACUACUACAAAAAUCUCUAAAAAGGUUGGAGAUAAAGUUUUCCUCAAAACCAUUCUAAACUCUACCAAGACUCUAGCAAGAGGAAGGGUCCAGAGCUUGGACCCAAAUGAUCUAGUUGGUGGU